RNAcentral lists this ribosomal RNA (434 nucleotides) under uncultured Ruminococcus sp. RNAcentral describes it as "partial 16S ribosomal RNA". It matches the Rfam family "Bacterial small subunit ribosomal RNA", at positions 341 to 792 of the family's 1533-position model. The record is from RNAcentral. Lineage: Bacteria; Bacillati; Bacillota; Clostridia; Eubacteriales; Oscillospiraceae.
ACGGAAGGCAGCAGUGGGGGAUAUUGCACAAUGGGGGAAACCCUGAUGCAGCGACGCCGCGUGAGUGAUGAAGUAUUUCGGUAUGUAAAGCUCUAUCAGCAGGAAAGAUAAUGACGGUACCUGACUAAGAAGCACCGGCUAAAUACGUGCCAGCAGCCGCGGUAAUACGUAUGGUGCAAGCGUUAUCCGGAUUUACUGGGUGUAAAGGGAGCGCAGACGGUUUUGCAAGUCAGAAGUGAAAUACCCGGGCCCAACCCGGGAACUGCUUUUGAAACUGUAGGACUUGAGUGCCAGAGAGGUAAGCGGAAUUCCUAGUGUAGCGGUGAAAUGCGUAGAUAUUAGGAGGAACACCAGUGGCGAAGGCGGCUUACUGGCCGGUAACUGACGUUGAGGCUCGAAAGCGUGGGUAGCAAACAGGAUUAGAUACCCUGGUA